AGAAAAUAUACAUUUAUUCUGUUUUGUUAUUGUUGCCAGUCGUGUCCAUGAGUAUUCAACUAGGCUUGAAAUGAUUUACAUUUCCCUCUCUCUGUAGUCACAAAGCUAGAAGCUGAGAGAGGUGGCCCCGAGUAAAGACUCAACAUCUGUCUGUGGUCAUGAAGCUGAGAGAGGUGGCCCCGAGUAAAGACUCAACAUCUGUCUGUGGUCAUGAAGCUGAGAGAGGUGGCCCCAAGUAAAGACUCAACAUCUGUCUGUGGUCAUGAAGCUGAGAGAGGUGGCCCCGAGUAAAGACUCAACAUCUGUCUGUGGUCAUGAAGCUGAGAGAGGUGGCCCCGAGUAAAGACUCAACAUCUGUCUGUGGUCAUGAAGCUGAGAGAGGUGGCCCCGAGUAAAGACUCAACAUCUGUCUGUGGUCAUGAAGCUGAGAGAGGUGGCCCCAAGUAAAGAUUCAACAUCUGUCUGUGGUCAUGAAGAUGAGAGAGGUGGCCCCUAGUAAAGACUCAACAUCUGUCUGUGGUCAUGAAGCUGAGAGAGGUGGCCCCAAGUAAAGAUUCAACAUAUUUUUGCAAAUGUGCAUACUGUAUAUAUUUGUGUGUACACAUACAGUUGAAGUCGGAAGUUUACAUACAUUUAGGUUGGAGUCAUUAAAACACGUUUUUCAA
Oncorhynchus tshawytscha (Chinook salmon) is the source of this 665-nucleotide long non-coding RNA. The record is from Ensembl. Lineage: Eukaryota; Metazoa; Chordata; Actinopteri; Salmoniformes; Salmonidae.